Molecule: ribosomal RNA, 253 nt
Filed under: uncultured bacterium
Lineage: Bacteria
Description: partial 16S ribosomal RNA
Rfam family: Bacterial small subunit ribosomal RNA
Source: RNAcentral
UACGUAGGGACCAAGCGUUGUUCGGAUUUACUGGGCGUAAAGGGCGCGUAGGCGGCUUAACAAGUCACUUGUGAAAUCUCCGGGCUUAACUCGGAACGGCCAAGUGAAACUGUCAAGCUAGAGUGCAGAAGGGGCAAUCGGAAUUCUUGGUGUAGCGGUGAAAUGCGUAGAUAUCAAGAGGAACACCUGAGGUGAAGACGGGUUGCUGGGCUGACACUGACACUGAGGCGCGAAAGCCAGGGGAGCAAACGGG